This is a long non-coding RNA of Conger conger (European conger), 1466 nucleotides long. RefSeq lists it as uncharacterized. NCBI's taxonomy places the organism in Eukaryota, Metazoa, Chordata, Actinopteri, Anguilliformes, Congridae. The record is from RefSeq and is a predicted model, not a curated record. The transcript has 2 exons.
AGAACACCUGAGUGUGGGGUUGAAGACUGUAGAGAGUGAAGCCCUCCAUAUUCUGCACCCAGUGACCAGCCUAUAUUCUCUCUGGCCCCAUUCAUCAGUUCCUGUCCAUCCUGCCAGUAACAGGAAACAUCUAUACCUGGAAAUCACAAAAGAAGACCAAGGACAUUGAACUUGGAAAAUUUAACUAAAGAAACCCUACCAUUAAUUGCAAAAAAGACCCAAAUUUUUGUAUCAACACCACUAUGUGUGUUGCAGUAUUUUAAAAAGUGUGCAAUUUCAGUGUCCUGUUCAGUAUCACAUUUAAAUGGGUGCAGGACCUGAAGCUAGAGAAUGCGCUCCAUACUCUCCGUGUCUGCAGGAGAAGCAGAGACUGUUCUGCCAAAGGGGGUCUACUUUACUGAGGGACCACUAUGUGCACAGGGGAAUACUUUGCCACUGUUUGCACUGUACUGUUGCAAAUUCAGAGACAAAAUGUAGAUGUAUAUAAUUUCUCAGAGCCGUGCUACCUACCAUUGGAUUUUGAAGAGACUCGCUAAUGGCCAUCAAAUGAAUUUACAUUGUUAAAUGUCUGUAAAAACCAUGGGUGUGAGGAGACACACUGAUCUACAUCACUAUACUGGGUACACCCCUUUAGUUUAUGUCCUGCAUUGAACAACGCACGCUCCACAUCUGUAUGGUUAAAGACUCAUCAUUUGUAAUUUGCCAAAAUGUUACAUUGUUGUGAUAUUGUAUUAUUCUAAUAUUCUAAGUAUGGUGUGAAACAUAUUAUAUCAUCCUUAAACAGCUAUUUCCUGAUGUGGACUGUAAACGUCUUUAGCCCGCAGUGGGUUAACCAUCUCUAGUUCAUAUUUUGUUAAUUGCGCUAUCCUGUUGACAUGUACAGGUAGCCCAAGGUACUUUCGUUCCCUCAGCGAAGCCUGGAAGGCAAAACUAGAAAACUUAAUAGCGACAGAUUAGCGAACUGGUUAGCUCAGUAACAUAGAUAAAGAUAGAUUUCAUAAAAAUACAUUCAAUAAAAACUGCCUGCAAAGACAUUUUUAAUUUGAUGUAUUAGAAAUACGUUCUGUGGUUGGCUGAGCUGAACCUGCUUCCUUUCAGGCAUGCUUGAGGAGAGGAAAGUACCACGGGCAUACAGCUAUGCCUGAUUUCAAAGUGUUUCUGCCCAUCUGUACAGAAGUAUUAUGUAAAAAGCUGGACUUACAUAGAGUAUAUUGAAAACUGAAAUAAAUUGCAUUAUAAAAUAUAUGCACCAUAAUUUGAUAUACAGUAUAAACAUGGCAGGUAGUUGUACUGUUUGUUUUAUUUUAUAAUUUUGCCAUAUGUGAAAUGACAUAGUCCUUAUUUUUUGAAUUUGUACUGUACAUUUUGCUGUAUAUUUGCAUAUGUGACUUUUUCAUAAGGGUCAGGAAUUUAUCUGCCACCAUGUGCUAGACCCCCUUGUGUUGCAAUAAAACUACUCCUCUGAA